UCUCUUCUAAGUGUGUGCUUGUGCUUUCUUUCUAACAGAUUGGGUAUAUUUGAACUUAUUCCAUCUUGAAUCGGUAUAAAUAAUUGGAAGAAAAUGUGACAUUAAAAACAAAAGAACUUAUAAAAACAAUAGCCAAAUCAUAUCUUUUUUCUUUAUGUUUUUUCCCCGCUUUUUUUCUGAAAAUUUAACGGCAACAAGAAAAGAAGGGUAAAAAAAGUCAAGAGGACAGGGGAGGAAAGAGCGGACAAGAUAUGGGAACCCACUUGAAUGCCGAGCGCAGCUGCAGAAUGGUAUUUCAUUGGGAUCUGUCAGCUCGACUCUGAUUGGCCUGACACUGCUAAUCCCUCCAGAUGUUCAGCAUUAACUGAUGAGUGCGUGACUGUUCUGUGUGGAAGAAAACGCAGAGAGGGAGAGGGCCAGAGGACCCCGUUGCUGGUGGGACCAGGAGCUGGUAGAAGGGACUGCAUGUUUCCGCUGAAAGGAAUGUGAUAUGGUGCCCUUUUCCCCUCUUGGCCUGGAGGGCCUCUUCUGGUUUAUUGCUCACACCUGCGGCUCGUUUGGUCAUUACCUGAGGAGUAUAUGAGCAGCAGACUGUCACCACCUCAACGCCAGAGUGUUUGCCAUUAUUGGAAUUAUUUCCUGAUCUACUGGAUAAGCCUGGUCCUUCAAGCCUUCGAAGGAAUUAUUUGUCUCUCUGAGAAUAAGGAAAUCAUUGACCGCUUCAGUUUGCAGUCCGAUUCAGGAAAGCUCGUUGACAGUCUGCUCUGGUGCUCCUCUGGACCACUACAGAGGAGCUCUGUCCACUCUGUCUGCCCUCCAGCCAAGUAUCUCCUUAUCUGUACAGUCCCCACAAACAGGAACCAAGGAGCAACCACAAGUCAUCUACAACGAGGUGAAUGGAAGCAGCUGCUGCCGGCCCCUCUGGGAUCCAUGCUGAAAUGAAACUAUCAAAUGCCCCCGGACCGAGGACAGAUUGCUUAAUGUGUGAAAGCUGCACCGUGUUCACAGACAUGUUUUGUCUGCACAGGCAAACUUGUGAAACAAGAACUUUGUUUUUCUUCUUCUCUCUGCAUUUUGGUGAGAGGUUAUGGAUAAAAUGAUAACUGGAAGCGGUCCUUUUUUAGAUCUGGUAGGAAAUCCAGUGGUUAAAACAACUCAACAUGUGCUUGGCAGUAAUGAAUGGGUAAAAGCUGUUGGCAGAGCGUGAAGUCGGGGAGUAAAAAGGGGUGAAGAAGUAGGUAUGGCGUGAGCUGGGGUUGGGGGUAGGGAGGCAAAGAUAGUCCAAAACAAGUUGGCUGGCAUCUGGGACCUGGUUGAAAAUCGUGUUGCAAUUACUCUAUUAGCAUGCUCAGCUGCACCACUGUUUCUCUUCUUUUGUUUUCUUUUUUUGAGAAACCUAUGACAACCAACAAGGCACAUAAGUCCAUCAGAAAAGAAGCCUGUCAGAGGCCUAUUGUCUGCUUCCAUGCCCUCACCCUGCUAUUGACUCUCAGCUGUUAAAGAGAGCCAAGGAACAGCCAAAGGCAUCAUGGGAGCAGCAACAGCACUUUUGGUGCCGGUUGUGACUGACAAAAAUCUGGCAAGUAAAGCAGCUCGCCAAUGAAGCAUGAAAUGUGAAUAUCAGCUGUCUUCUUUUCAGGAAGGAAAAAUGUUUAGUUUAAAAAAAAAUACAUUAGUAAAUAACAAAAUCGACCUCUGGAAAAAAUGGAAGAGCCUUGUCCUAGUUUCUUUAGGGUAAGCAGAUUCAGUUCCAGAUCUCAGAUCUUUAAAACUGUUUUUAAAAACUGUAAAUACUCUACAUGUCU
Molecule: RNA transcript, 1805 nt
Organism: Cyprinodon tularosa
Lineage: Eukaryota; Metazoa; Chordata; Actinopteri; Cyprinodontiformes; Cyprinodontidae
Exons: 5
Source: RefSeq, a predicted model, not a curated record